Molecule: unclassified non-coding RNA, 249 nt
Filed under: Hevea brasiliensis (rubber tree)
Lineage: Eukaryota; Viridiplantae; Streptophyta; Magnoliopsida; Malpighiales; Euphorbiaceae
Source: RNAcentral
GGCAGCUUUCUUCUGCUCCAAUUCCUCAAGAGCACGACGAGCCUCGAGGGCCUUAAGCUCUUGUUCCUUGAAGGGCCAAUCAUUGGGGAUUCCUGGGUCCUUCUCCACCUUAGUCUUUUUGUUAAUACCCAACUUUUUGGCCUCCUUUGCCUUUUUCUUGUGAUGCUCUUUUACCUUCCUUAUAAUCUUGUGCUUCUGCUUCAAUGAUACCCUCUUGCUCUUACUCUUCUUGCUUUUCUUCACCAUUUU